RNAcentral lists this long non-coding RNA (4328 nucleotides) under Podarcis lilfordi (Lilford's wall lizard). Lineage: Eukaryota; Metazoa; Chordata; Lepidosauria; Squamata; Lacertidae. The record is from RNAcentral.
GGCAACCGACAGCAGCUUCUCGCCGUUCAACCCAGCAUCUGGAGACUGGGAAGCGUACGCCUCCCGUUUCACCUUCCUCCUAGAAGCCAAAGGGGUCACCGAUGAAGAAGACGCCAAGAAGAGGGCGAUAUUCUUCAGCAUCUGCGGAGAGGAGACGAGUGGUGGCUCGUCGAAAUGCCUUCUACGCAAAGCGGCAAGCCCCUGGGGAAACCAUAACUGGGUUUGUGACCUCUCUCCGCCAAGCCGCCCGGUUCUGCAACUUCUCAGAGCUGGAGAACAUGCUUCGGGACCGCCUCGUCGGUGGCCUGAAGGAUGAGAAGCUGCAACGACGCCUCUACGCUAAGAAGGACCUAACGUUCCAGGUCGCUCUUGAGGAGGCCCUGGCAACGGAAGCUGCCAAGAGGUCGACGCAAGAGGCACGGCUGAGCCUGCCAUCCCAAACGAGGGUCCACCACGAAGACCUCACCGACGACUCAGGAUCUGACAGGGAGGAGGUGCACCGAGUACAGCAGCGCACUCAAGCAGCCCACAUACCACAGCUGCCUCGACGAGAAGGAGGGAACUGUGCAAGCUGCGGGGAAAGUCACGAGAGGAGGACCUGCCGUUUCCGCAAUGCGGAGUGCAGGCAGUGCAGAAAAUCGGGACACAUCGCCCGGGUGUGUCGAGCUUGGCCCACCCGUCGCCAGGCAUCAGAUGACCAAUCCAAGAGCCCCAGGUCCCGGGGCCCAACACACCAAGGCAACUCAACGGAGCUCACGGACUUCCAGGUAUACCAGUUGCCCCACCCCAACGUAGAGAAAAUUUAUGUAGAGGUACAGAUAGAGGGGCCCCAUGCCGCAUGGAGCUUGACACGGGUUCAACUCUAUCCAUAAUCUCGGCAAGGACCUUAAGGAAACUGUGUCCUACUGGGGGUCCCAAACUCAGGCCGGCCCCAUUCACCCUCCGGGACUUCCAGAAACGUAAGGUCCCCACAAUGGGGGUGGGGACCUUCAGGGUGCAAUACCGAGGGCGCACGCGGCAACUGGACUUGCUUGUGGUCAAGGGCCCCUACAUUAGCUUACUGGGAUUGGCAUGGUUUGGACCACUGGGGCUAGUCAUCACCGGGGUGAACCACACUAGCUUACAAGUGGACGUGGACGCCAUAUGCAAGGAAUUUCCAGGGGUUUUCGAUGGGAAAUUGGGACAGUAUACGGGCCCCCCCAUUGCUCUACAGCUUGACCCCGCAGUACGACCGGUCAGGCUCAAGGCCCGCCGGGUCCCGUUCGCCCUGAAACCCCGUAUAGACGAGGAAUUGGACCGGCUCGUGGAGCAAGGAGUGCUGGAGCCGGUGCCUAAUGCCCCCUGGGAAACCCCAAUCGUCACACCUGUCAAGCCUAAUGGUUCGGUCCGCAUCUGCACAGACUACAAAUGUACCAUAAACAAGGCCCUCACGGCCCAUGCAUACCCAGUGCCAGUGGUCAGCCAUGUCCUUGCCACCCUGGCUGGGUCGAAAAUGUUUGGCAAGCUGGACUUGGCCCAAGCAUAUCAACAGCUGCCAGUAGAUGAGGCCACAGCAGAGGCACAGACGAUUGUGACGCACAGAGGAGCAUUCAGGGUAAAGCGGCUGCAAUUCGGUGUCAGUGUGGCACCAGGCAUAUUCCAGAAUCUAAUGGACUCGCUCCUUAAAGGGAUUCCUGGCAUCACCCCCUUCUUCGAUGAUGUGUUGAUUGCCGGGCCCACACCAGAGGAGUUUGAGGACCGCCUCCGCACCGUUCUGCACCAUUUCCAGAUGGCGGGUCUCAAGGUGAAGCGGGAAAAAUGUCUACUAGGAGUGCCUCAGGUGAACUUUCUGGGAUUUAUGGUGGACGCAGAAGGGGUCCACCCAACUGGGGACAAGGUACGGGCCAUUUGUGAUGCCCCAGCACCCAAGAGCAAGACUGAACUUCAGGCCUUCUUGGGACUAUUGAACUUUUACCAUUCCUUCCUUCCCCACAAGGCGGCAGUAGCGGAGCCCCUACACAGACUCCUGGACAAGUGGGCCCCUUGGGUGUGGGGCCAGCGCCAGGAGGCUGCAUUCCAGGCAGUCAAGGACUUGCUUGUCUCAAACUCGGUCUUGGCACACUUCGACGAGAGGCUGCCGGUGGUGCUAGCAUGCGACGCCUCGCCCUAUGGCAUUGGCGCUGUCCUGGGACACCAACUCCCGGAUGGAAGAGAGGUACCGGUAGCAUACUUUUCCCAGACACACAACGCAACCGAGCGGAACUACUCGCAAAUAGACAAGGAGGGGCUGGCAAUCGUGAAGGGAGUAAACAAAUUCCAUGAUUUCUUGUACGGGCGGCCUUUCACCGUGGUGACUGACCACAAGCCGUUGCUUGGCUUGUUUGCCCCCGAAAAGCAGACCCCCCAAGUGCUGUUUCCUCGCGUCCUCAGGUGGUCAAUUUUGCUUGCCAGCUACCAGUAUGCACUGAUUCACCGCCCGGGGAAGGCGAUGGGCCAUGCGGACGCCCUCAGCAGGCUACCACUACCGGAAACAGGCCCCGACCCAGCACCUGCACAAGAGGUUAUGAGCCUGGAGCUGCUUCCCGACCGCCCCAUUCAGGCACAAGAAGUUGCGCACCAUUCCAAGAAAGAUAGGGUCAUCUCCCGGGUCCUGGACUAGGUGUGGAGGGGAUGGCCCAGCAGCAGCCCUGGGCCAGAAUUCGCUGGCUACACAACCCGCAAACAUGAACUGUCAGCCCACAAGGGGUGCCUGUUAUGGGGAAGCAGGGUCGUUGUUCCCCAGCCCCUCCGCAAAAGGGUCCUCACAGCCCUACACGAGACACACCCAGGGGUAGUAAGAAUGAAGGCCCUGGCCAGGAGUUAUGUGUGGUGGCCGGGGAUCGACGGAGAGAUAGAGGCCUGGGUCAAACACUGCCAGGCCUGCCAAGAAUCCCGCCCAGAUCCCCCAAGGGCCCCAGUCCAGUCCUGGGAGUCCGCCCUAGCUCCAUGGUCACGCCUGCAUGUGGACUUCGCUGGCCCCUUUCAGGGGAAAACAUUCUUCAUAGUGGUGGACUCCUACACCAAAUGGCUGGAAGUCGCACUGGUACCGUCCACUUCUACAUCCGCAGCCAUCCGGGUACUACGCAGGCUGUUUGCAACCCACGGGCUCCCUGACACUCUCGUCUCAGACAACGGGACUGCAUUUACGUCAAGAGAAUUCCAAACCUUCACAGCGCAGAACGCCAUCCGCCACAUCCGUUCGGCGCCAUUCCACCCUGCCACCAAUGGCCAAGCAGAACGCAUGGUGCGGACCACCAAGGACACCCUUUGCCGCAUGACACAAGGGGAUUGGGAGUAUCGCCUUGCCACAUUCCUCCUAGCACAGCACAGCACCCCCAGCUCAACGACUGGCCGGAGCCCCACUGAACUACUAAUGGGUCGGCGCCUUGCAAUCAGAUUGGACCGCCUUCACCCUGAUAGAGCUCAGGAUGAGGUAGUGGUGGGGGAAGGCAGGAACCCCCGGACCUUCGAGGCCCAGGACCCAGUGUACGCAAAGAAUUUUGGGGCAGGCCCAGCAUGGGUACCCGCCACAGUCACCAGGGUCACUGGCCCCGUGUCGUACAAGGUGCUAACGGAUGGGGGGCAAUGCUGGUGCCGCCACUGCGACCAGAUACGGCAACAAUUCCCGGGAGAAAACCAGGAGGAGGAAAGGUCAGAGGAGUCCCAAGGGAACAGAGGGGCAGUGAGGCCCAUAGAGCAGGAGGGGCCAGCAGGAGAGGCAGAAUCAGUAAAUACAGAGAGGACCCACGAGGCCGAAAGGACACCGGAACCAGAACCACGACUGAGCGAGCCAGUUGCGCCAGACCAAACAGGCCCAUCACAGCCAGCAUCCUUGGAACACGAGCCAGAACCUGAACCCUGGACCAGGGAACACCACAGGCCGCAACGCACACAUAGGCCGCCGGCGUACCUCGAGGACUAUGAAUGUGACCUCCCGGGCAGGACUGGAACUUAGAGGGGAGGGGUGAUAUGUACUGAGUUGAAUAGGAUCCAAACUACAGCAGUCUGAUUGGUCCUAGAACAAUAGGAUCCAAAUUGCAGCAGUCUGAUUGGUCCUAGAACAAUAGGAUUCAGAAUGCAGCAGUCUGAUUGGUCCUAGAACAAGGCAGCAGUAUGAUUGGUUGGCAGGAACCACCCAAUCAUGCUCCAGAUAUAAGUGAAUCCACAACCUGAUUGGCUUACAGUAGAAUUCCAGAAUUAGCCAAUCAUGUGCAGCCCAUUGUGUAAAUAAUGUAUAUAAAGCAGAUACUUUGAGGAGACAUUCAUUCAUUCCUCCUCACCACUAUGAGCUGAAUAAAGAGCAUGAAAUC